This is a non-coding RNA of Pelobates cultripes (western spadefoot toad), 233 nucleotides long. Lineage: Eukaryota; Metazoa; Chordata; Amphibia; Anura; Pelobatidae. The record is from the annotation of a GenBank genome assembly.
CGAUUCUGUGGUGCACCCCCAAGGUGGGUAGCGCACCCCAGUGUGUCCUUGGGCUGAGUAGCCGUCGAUAUUGCCGUUUAUUCUGCCCGCCCGACAGGAGCUCUUUUCCCGCACGUCUGUUCAGCUUAGCGGUCAGACUCCGCCCCCCAAUAUGUCUCUUUUUGCCCACUUUUUACCGGCCUACAGCAUACGUUGGUUUCGGCACACCUCAACUGAUUAUUCCUAAAGCUACA